RNAcentral lists this long non-coding RNA (211 nucleotides) under Carica papaya (papaya). RNAcentral's name for it is "long non-coding RNA (CPAP_LNC011864)". Lineage: Eukaryota; Viridiplantae; Streptophyta; Magnoliopsida; Brassicales; Caricaceae. The record is from RNAcentral.
AAGAAUGUGAAAAUAGUUUUGUUACACUGAAGUAUCGCCUCACCUCUACUCUAAUAUUGAUCCUCCCUGAUUGUACUAGAUGAUUUAAGUUUUUUGUUAUGCAUCUUACGUAGGUUUGGGAUGCAUUUUAAUGCAACACAGUCAGGUAGUCGCUUAUGGACCUAAAUAGCUGAAACCCUAUAAAUGUAAUUACCCCACACACGACCUAGAG